GGGGGUAUAGCUCAGUGGUAGAGCACGUGCUUGGCAUACACAAGGUCCUGGGUUCAAUCCCCAGUGCCUCUG
This 72-nucleotide transfer RNA is filed under the name Camelus bactrianus (Bactrian camel). It matches the Rfam family "tRNA". Rfam says of the family: Transfer RNA (tRNA) molecules are approximately 80 nucleotides in length. Their secondary structure includes four short double-helical elements and three loops (D, anti-codon, and T loops). Lineage: Eukaryota; Metazoa; Chordata; Mammalia; Artiodactyla; Camelidae. The record is from Rfam by way of RNAcentral. RNAcentral also lists the same sequence under 1 other name.